AAUCAACGCUGGCGGCGUGCCUCAGACAUGCAAGUCGAACGCGAAAGUUUCCUUCGGGGAAUGAGUAGAGUGGCGCACGGGUGAGUAACACGUAGGUAAUCUACCUUUGGAUGGGGAAUAACAACCGGAAACGGUUGCUAAUACCGCAUAAUGCAGCGGCACCUAAUGGUGACAGUUGUUAAAGCGGGGGAUCGAAAGACCUCGCGUCUAAAGAGGAGCCUGCGGCGGAUUAGCUAGUUGGUAAGGUAAUGGCUUACCAAGGCGAUGAUCCGUAACCGGCCUGAGAGGGCGGUCGGUCACACUGACACUGACAUACGGGUCAGACUCCUACGGGAGGCAGCAGUCGGGAAUUUUGGGCAAUGGGCGAAAGCCUGACCCAGCAACGCCGCGUGAAGGAUGAAAUCCCCCGGGAUGUAAACUUCGCAAGAACAGGAAGAAUAAGUAAGGGUUAAUACCUCUUACGAUGACGGUACUGUUUGUAAGCUCCGGCUAACUCCGUGC
This 501-nucleotide ribosomal RNA is filed under the name uncultured bacterium. RNAcentral's name for it is "bacterial SSU rRNA". It matches the Rfam family "Bacterial small subunit ribosomal RNA", at positions 32 to 508 of the family's 1533-position model. The record is from RNAcentral.